Molecule: transfer RNA, 79 nt
Filed under: Candidatus Bathyarchaeota archaeon
Lineage: Archaea; Thermoproteati; Candidatus Bathyarchaeota
Also listed under: 1 other name
Description: tRNA-Pro
Rfam family: tRNA
About the family: Transfer RNA (tRNA) molecules are approximately 80 nucleotides in length. Their secondary structure includes four short double-helical elements and three loops (D, anti-codon, and T loops). Further hydrogen bonds mediate the characteristic L-shaped molecular structure. tRNAs have two regions of fundamental functional importance: the anti-codon, which is responsible for specific mRNA codon recognition, and the 3' end, to which the tRNAs corresponding amino acid is attached (by aminoacyl-tRNA synthetases). tRNAs cope with the degeneracy of the genetic code in two manners: having more than one tRNA (with a specific anti-codon) for a particular amino acid; and 'wobble' base-pairing, i.e. permitting non-standard base-pairing at the 3rd anti-codon position.
Source: RNAcentral
GGGGACGUCGUCUAGCAUGGUCUAGGAUCCCAGCCUGGGGCGUUGGAGGUCGCGGGUUCAAAUCCCGCCGUCCCCACCA